RNAcentral lists this ribosomal RNA (480 nucleotides) under uncultured bacterium. RNAcentral's name for it is "partial 16S ribosomal RNA". It matches the Rfam family "Bacterial small subunit ribosomal RNA", at positions 28 to 507 of the family's 1533-position model. The record is from RNAcentral.
GAUGAACGCUCGCGGCAGGCCUAACACAUGCAAGUCGAGGGAGAGGUUACCUUCGGGUAACCAAAACCGGCGCACGGGUGCGUAACGCGUAUACAAUCUGCCUUUCACAUAGGGAUAGCCCGAAGAAAUUUGGAUUAAUACCUAAUGGUAUAUAAGAGCGGCAUCGUUUUUAUAUUAAAGCUACGGUGGUGAAAGAUGAGUAUGCGUUCUAUUAGCUAGUUGGAGAGGUAACGGCUCCCCAAGGCGACGAUAGAUAGGGGUUCUGAGAGGGAUGUCCCCCACACUGGUACUGGGAUACGGACCAGACUCCUACGGGAGGCAGCAGUGAGGAAUAGUGGGCAAUGGUCGGAAGACUGAUCCAGCCAUGCCGCGUGCAGGAUGAAGGUCCUAUGGAUUGUAAACUGCUUUUGGAAGGGAAGAAUAAGGAGUACGUGUACUUUGAUGACGGUACCUUACGAAUAAGCAUCGGCUAACUCCGUG